CUGAACGAUUAAACCUAAUGAACUUUCAACCAACCAGACUGUGGCUGAGUUUCAACUUGGUGAAACUCAUCGGGGAAGUGUGUCGCGAACGACGCACGCUCCGCUCUUGGGGAACGGAUUGAGCCUCCAGACCGACGAGAAUUGAAAAAGAAAGUUUGUUUUUUGAGAACUGGCAACGAUAAGUGUAUGCUUUUAGAACAGUGACGCAGUAGACUAAUGACGCUGUUAGAUAUGUAGAACAAUGAUGCUAAGUAGUUAGAAGUGUUUUUUGAUAGUGUAAUGAUUUAGAUAUUGUUCCUCUUUUGUGUCAAAUGUCAAAUAAAGUGAUUCAUACAAAAGAGUGCCAAUUUUAGAUGAGUUUGGAACCAAAUCGGAGUCUACUAAAGCGGCGGACCAGAAUCGAAGAAAGCGGAUCAUAAAGGACUUUAGAAGCCCCCAUUGAUUCUCUUCCUUUGCAAAAGUCGUCGGAGAAGUCCAUACCCACGACAAGCCAACUAAGAUCUGUAUGUGCAAUAACUCGUCUGUUGGGAUCUGAGACCAAAACUGUUUACAGCUUCGGACUCGAAAAAGAAAUCAUAGAAAUAUUCAUUGAUGGUUACCUGAGAGUGAGAGUAGAAAAUAGCGUCAUUCAAGACGUUUAUCACAGUGACUGGAGUAAUUCUACUUUACCGAAUGAUCUGAAACUCAGUGCAGCGACCGUCAUUGAUGCAAACGGAUGCAAGAUCAAAACAACACGAGUUUGUGACGGCCAGAAGGAUGAGAUAGUUAUUUUCAAAAAUGACUGCGUUUUGUGUAAAGCCAGUAAUAGUACAGUUAUAUGAGGAAACGACAACUUAAUAGUUUAAGGACAUGUUAAAUAAACAAGCUUAUUUUUUAUGUGUGCAAUUAUUUUUGAUUAAGAAAUAAAACUGACACCAUUCAUA
Molecule: unclassified non-coding RNA, 923 nt
Organism: Stegodyphus dumicola
Lineage: Eukaryota; Metazoa; Arthropoda; Arachnida; Araneae; Eresidae
Source: RefSeq, a predicted model, not a curated record